UACGUAGGUGGCAAGCGUUGUCCGGAAUUAUUGGGCGUAAAGCGCGCGCAGGCGGUUAAUUAAGUUGGGUGUUUAAGCCCGGGGCUCAACCCCGGUUCGCAUCCAAAACUGGUUGACUUGAGUGUAGGAGAGGAAAGUGGAAUUCCACGUGUAGCGGUGAAAUGCGUAGAGAUGUGGAGGAACACCAGUGGCGAAGGCGACUUUCUGGCCUAUAACUGACGCUGAGGCGCGAAAGCGUGGGGAGCAAACAGG
Molecule: ribosomal RNA, 252 nt
Filed under: uncultured bacterium
Lineage: Bacteria
Description: partial 16S ribosomal RNA
Rfam family: Bacterial small subunit ribosomal RNA
Source: RNAcentral